GCAGAGUAGCUUAAGGUGCGUUAAGUGUUGCGGGAUGGGAUGUUGCCCGCAAACGAAAGAAGAAAUUCUGCGGUACCUUUUGCGCGUCCGUUG
Molecule: non-coding RNA, 93 nt
Filed under: chicken gut metagenome
Description: THF riboswitch
Rfam family: THF (Tetrahydrofolate) riboswitch aptamer
About the family: THF riboswitch presents a pseudoknot that joins P1-P2 and the loop of P3 and two THF binding.
Source: RNAcentral